UCCCUGGUGGCUCAGAUGGUAAAGAAUCUGCCUGCAAUGCAGGAGACUCAGGUUCAAUCCCUGGAUUGGGAA
Molecule: transfer RNA, 72 nt
Filed under: Bos taurus (domestic cattle)
Lineage: Eukaryota; Metazoa; Chordata; Mammalia; Artiodactyla; Bovidae
Also listed under: 4 other names
Rfam family: tRNA
About the family: Transfer RNA (tRNA) molecules are approximately 80 nucleotides in length. Their secondary structure includes four short double-helical elements and three loops (D, anti-codon, and T loops).
Source: Rfam by way of RNAcentral